RNAcentral lists this unclassified non-coding RNA (7380 nucleotides) under Haliotis rubra (blacklip abalone). RNAcentral's name for it is "golgin-45-like, transcript variant X1". The record is from RNAcentral. Lineage: Eukaryota; Metazoa; Mollusca; Gastropoda; Lepetellida; Haliotidae.
AUUUGUUCCAGAAAUUCAACAGAAUCAUGCAAGCAGCUCAAAAGAAAAAAUCUCCACAAGAAACUGUGUUGUUGAGGCAUCCACGACCCAAGUAUGAUUUCCAAGGGAAAAAACUUGCCAAGAAAACAAAUAAACAAAUAACUUCAAAACCAGAACCAGAUCAGAUCACCUCCCAAGCACCUCCCACACAGACAAUAGUAGCCAAGCCAAGGGAGUUAUCUGACAACCAACAGCAAGUGCAACAUUUUGCUGAGCAUGACUUUAAAACUAAGAGUGCUGGUAUUGUCAGGCCAGUACCUGCAGUGAGUGCACCUGCUGUACAGACCACAGUCCAGACUAUUCAACUUCCACAAAAACCAAUACAGGUGAUAGCCCCUGUGACGGGCGGUACUCCACUGUCAAGGGAGAGCCGUUUCACUGUGCCAAGCCCCUCCUCCACAAUUCUCCAACUUGAACAAGAGUUAGGAGUGGUCAGGCCCAGCAAGGAUGAAUACGAUCGACUGAAGCAGGAAAACGAGCAGCUAAAACAGGAUCUAGAUGUUCAGCACAAGGUGAAUACAGAGCUGAAGAAGCUGCUGAUUGCUUCUGUUGGAGAGGAUCUGGAGAGGCGUGUUGAGAGACUGGCUCGAGACAAGGCCGAGUUGUCGAUGGAGGUCGGGGGCUACACCAGGAAGGUGACGGAGGACUACGAGAACCUGGACAAGGUGUCCAUCCAGGCCGAUAUGUGGCGCACCAAGUUCCUUGCUAGCAGAGUGAUGAUUGACGAGCUGGCCAGUGCCCGAGCCUUCUACUCGCUUCAAUACCAGGAGUCCCAGGAUGCACUGCAACAGCUGCUCACAGAGAGGCAUGAGUUGCGGGCAAACCUACUGGAAACCAUGAAGUGUCUUCAGCAAGUGAAAGGGGCCUUCGAUCCCCUGAAUGCUCACAAGUCGACAAAUCUACUGUCUACAAACGUCAUCGACCUGGCUCGAAUGUCCCAACAGUUGUCGGAGGCAAUCCGGUACCGCCUCCUACCCGGCAAACUCAACAUCCAGACCAUCAUCAACAUCGAGGACCAACUGGACAACUCCAUGACCCACGCGGAGAGCUUCGCCAACCAGCUGGUUGCAAGACAAACUAAGCUGGAUCCUGUACAUAAGUCUGUAUCAGGGAAUCUGUUUGGCCCCGGGUCACGUGUCGAGAGGUUCCACCCUGAUGCUCGCUACGACAACUUGACUGUCAACUGUUGUGCCCACUGCAAGGGGGAAAUCAGCGUGCUGUGAACAGAGAUGAAGAAACAGAGAGGGGAAACAGAGAAGAGGAAAAGGAGAGAAGACUAACAAACGUGUCAUAAACACAUAAAAAGAGAAGAAACGUCACAACAUCGUCACAGAUUUUUAUUUUAAAUCAAAUAAUGCUGAACUUUAGAUACAAAUAUCCCUAUCAUUGGUAUGAGUCCACGUGAUAUCCCCAAUGAUAAAAUGUUGUGUUUUAUUUUUUACCGGUAAUGGGAUAUGAAACAGAUCGGUAGUACCUACAUACCCAAUGUUUUUAUAUAUAUUUGUGGUUAACUAUGGUAACUGAUGCUUUAUGAACCAGUGCAAUUUGGAUUUCAGCUUUGAUGUAUAUUAUACAUUGAAAUUGUGUUAACCGUAACUCUGUGUAAAUCAGUAUUGUGCUGAAGACAGAGGUGAGCGUAUUGUUUGUUGGCUGACAAGAAGAUUGCUUGCUUUGCAUCCUGCCCCGGUGACAUAGGCUGGUGCUCACAAUAUCAUACAGCUGGAAUAUUUGUGGGUGCCAAGUAAACACUUUUCAAUACUUUGGUCAGAACCCCAUUUGUUUCAAAUCUGUGAAUAACCUAUCAUGUACUCCAAGGUGCCCCAUGCGUAAUGUAUGAUGGUGUGUUCAGACAGAACCUUCUGUUUGUCAUGCAGGACAUACAUACAAGGCAAACAAUCGGUGAAGACUUUGCUGAUGAGGUAACUGCAGGGGUGGAAGUAACUUUAAAAUUGCUAGUGUACUCUGGUACAGUGGCACACGUAAACUCACUUGCCCUGAUAAUGUUUCCACUGUACCUGUAAAAUAUAUUGAUACAACAUGACGAUGACCAUUACUGUAUGGACAGUGUGUAGUAACACACAGUAUAACAGUUUAAACAACAAUAAUAAACUACCUAUUAAAUUCAAUAUCUAAGAACUAAGAAAGGUAAACUGUGAAAUAUUUUAUCACCAAAACGAAAGAGAACUGGCCGAUAAACAAAAGAAAACAUUGAUAUUUUCUUGUUGAUUAUAUAAAUAAUAAUAACAUAAUUAACAUUGGAAUGUCAACUGGACACUGGUACAGCGUGAUAUACAAAUUUGCUUGCCUGACAGAAAAAAACACUGGACUGGGAUGUUGGGCAGUGGGUUAUUUCCACCCCUGUAUCUGGUUUUGGAAACUGUGUGAUGAGAAGAUAAUCAUGAGAACUCCGCAGUUUAACUCCUUGAACCUUUUCCAAUGUUCCUCAAGUCAGCGUGUUUACAUGUAGGGGAGGUAACUCCUCCAUGUCUAUGCGACCUCCUGCUAUGGAAGGUGAUUUGUGUUGGUGUAGUCAGUCGGUGAUGAGUGACCACGUGAUAGUUCUCAUCUUUUGUAUGUUGAUAUGUUCUGUACUUCCAGAACUGAGAGAACAGCGAAAAACCUGUGUUUCACUUGCUCACUUUAAUCCAUUUAAAUAGAAAAUAUGAUAUCUGAAAGAAUCUUACUUUUUAUUAUAAUUUGUUGGUAGAUAUUAUGUGGUUAUGAUUAAUCUCAAAUAUAGAACGAAAGUUUUUAUUCUGUUAAUAUAUUACAAAAGUCAUACUGAUUUUGUAUAUUUUAAGAUGUUAAAGUAGGUCUAAAGUCUUUGCAAGUGGGACAACAGCCAGUCGUUUAAGAUGAAUGUUUUUGUUUCAGUGAAUAUUGACAUUGAUCAAAGUACAUUGAUCAUGUUAAAACCCGAUUAACCAUCCCAAACUGGGUUCCACAGGAGAUAUUUGUGUAAAGAAAUGAUCCCACAAUGCCUUGCAGACCAUUUUGGUGUCAUCUUUUUACCAUAAGCAGAGAUGCCAACCCUUACGCCUUGGGCGUAAUUAUGACGAUUUGACCAUUAAAUUACGCCAUUACACUUAAUCUGCGAAAAUUAGGCUUUUCCACUCGUUUUGCAAAAAUCAAUAAAGUGGAUAAAAUUUCACAGGGAAUUUUUUUCGUAACGCACAGGUGAAGGGGUUCAGAAACGGCCUUACACCGAUUGGAAUCGCUUACUCUUAGCAUCGAGCUCAUUCCAAUUGACUUGCAAGGAAUUUAAGUAUUUGUGUCGCCUGACCAACAAUUUUCUAUGUAUGGAAAUUCAUAAUGAUUGGUCACAUGUAUUUCUGUCUAGAAUCUUUCCUAUUCAUGUGAAUGAUCAUUUUAAAAAGUAAUUUUUAUAAAGGUAAUACCUUUCACUAAGUAAGUGUUUUUAGUAUUACACUUUUUAGGUCCAAAUUACACUUUUUCACCUCCAGUAUUACACUUAGGCCCAAAAUAGGGUUGGCAUCUCUGCAUAAUGUCAGGAUCACAUAACAUCAAUAAUCUCUCGCCACCAAAAAAGGGUUAUCUGUGUUUUUACAGUUACUGCUGUAUAGAAGAUUGAGGAAGGUGGAAGAGUUACUGGUAUAUAGAAUCUCAGUUUUGUGUUUUGUUGCAAUGGUAGUUUAAAUUUUGAUUCAUGUUGAUCUGUUUGAUAACAAGAGAUUGAGAUUGUGUAUGUGUACAUGGAAAAUGUGUGUGUACUGAAGGGAACUCAAGAAGUGCCGACUUUAGGAGAUACACCGUCUGUUAGACUGUUAGAGGAGUAUUGCUAAUUUGAUACAACAGCGGCAUAUCAGGGGAUAUGAUACCUUGACACUUCUCUUGGAGUUAUCCCAUUCUUACAUUCACCAACAUAAUGUGUAACAAUGAUGUGUUACCAUGGAAACUUGUUAUUCCAGACAUUUACUGUCCAGGUUUACAGGAUUUCACUAACUAUGACAGCUUGAUAGGCUGUGGAUCUAUGGGAGUAUGUAGCCAAUGUGCUGUACCUCAUGUUGUGAUAUGUACCAUAUUGUCGUGACUCAUGUCUUGUAUAUCAGUGUUACAAUUGUAUAUCAUUAUAUAUCUUGUAUAUCAUUGUAUCAGUGUGUAUAUAUAUAUAUUAUUCUAGUCAAAUUGUCUUCUGAUUGGAUAAUGAUUUUCCUAUCAGUCAGACCUGCAGACUCUGUGCCACAGACAACAAUGAAUUUAUCAUUUAUUUUUCAUAUACAGUGUCAUGGGCAGCAGGAACCUUUUUUAAUUUUUGUUAAACAAACUAGAAGAGGAAUCUUCACCUGAAUUGUGGAUUUUGUGGUUUACAUUCAAGUUAAAGAAUAGAGCCACACAUCCACUUUAAGAAUGCUGCUUCAAGAAAGAAGGAACACAAAUGAUAAAGUCUAGUAAUUAUUUCAUUGUUGCCUUAGGUCUUUUGGUUUGUUGAAAGAGGACUGACAGGAUUGUGAUUUACUGUGGAAUUUUUGUGGGUCCAUGUCUGUGACACACAAGUAACCCUUUCACUGUCAAACAAAUCUUUUAUUGCAAACUGAGACAUAAAGCAACUUUGUCUCUUUUCUCUUUGGGGUGAUCGGUAGUCCAGUGGUUAAAGUGUUCACUCAUUAUGCCGACCUGGGUUUGAUUCCCUGCAUGGUUCAAUGUGUGGAAAACACACUUCUGGUUGACUGUCUCAAGGUGUUGCUGGAGUCUUCAACUGGCAUAAAACAAUACUCACUCUCUGGCUACAGCUGUGGGGCAUGUAUCGGAUCAUAAUCAGCAUUAAGGUAGAUCUGUGUACACGUCAACUCACUAACACAUGUACGCAGGUGCAGAUACAGAUCAUGAUCAGCAUUAAGGUAGAUCUGUGUACACGUCAACUCACUAACACAUGUACGCAGGUGCAGAUAUUGUAUGAAGAGGUGUGACAUGAACUGUAUGCUGUAUAAGGUUGAGGAUAUCUAACAGUGCUAUAUCAUGUGUAUUGUACCGGUAUGUAUUUACACUAGUUGUUAAAGGACAUAGGCAUAAAAUAUUCUAAGCUUUAAUUUUUGCAGCAUCUCAUUUUGUUACGGUAACCAAAUUGUUUUUAUGUAGUUCAGGUGGUUUAGCAGCAGUACAACUCUGUUUAUGUGCAAUAUUUGGUUAUAAUACCAUCCAAGGACUCCUUGAAGAAACUUGUGUUAUGCCUAUGAUGGCAUCAUUAUGGGAGUUCUUACCAUUUUGUGUAAUGGAAUUUUUAUUUGUUUUGUUGAGUUACACAUGAAAAAUCUCAAUACCUUUUUUUCAGUUUUAAAUGUAAUCAUUUAAGGUUCAUGGAAACCAUUUUUAUAUAAUUACAUAUCAUCCAAAACUGGCUUCCGAUGAUGAUGAUGAUGGAAUCUAGCCUAAUUUCUUUUGCUAUUACGUGUGUCUGGUCAAGACUCCAGACCGCCACCAUAUAGCUGGAAUUUUGCUGAGUGUGGCGUAAAACUAAACUCACUCACUCACUGCUAUUAAGUGUAUGAACACCCUUCAGUAAAAGCUUUCUCUUAUGUUGAUAUGUUCAGUAUCAAAAGAUGUAGGGUGAAGUAAACUGUCAGUCAUCUCGCAGAGCUCUGACACACGUCUAACUGUCAGUCAUCACACAGAGCUCUGACACACGUCUGUCAGUCAUCACACAGAGCUCUGACACACGUCUGUCAGUCAUCACACAGAGCUCUGACACACGUCUAACUGUUUAGUUUUUGUGUAAACCAGACAUCUAUUUCAUCGUCAGCCAGCUGUGAGCUGCUGAAGAAGAGAACAUCAGAUUGUUAUGGUAAUGAGGCAGGGAGUCAAGGGGAGGUAAUUGGUAUUGAUGACUCAGUCAAGGGGAGGUAAUUGGUAUUGAUCGUUCAGUGAUGGGAGCAGUCUCUUUAUGGGAAUUAGGGGUGCUUCACAAUCUGCAUGUGCAAAUAACUCUUUUAGUGCUGGGGGAACAGCAAGAACAGCGUAGUGACGGUUAUGAAUGUUAAAUGUGACUUAAUGUACAGAUUUCAUUAAGUCUCUUUAAGUAUCACAAUGAAUUUCAUAGUAUGGGAAUUUCACAUUCCAAACUCGUUUCACUAAUUGGGUAAUGAUCAUCAGGGCUGUGGAGAGUGUAGUGUCACUGUGGUAUCCAUGGAGACUGGUGUAUACAAAUUGUGAAUCUUAUUGAUCCACAGUCAUUCUUUUCAUAGCUUCACCUUGCCCAACUUCUUUGCAAACAAAAUAACCAUAACCUUAUUUGAUUUCAUGGGACUCUGUUAGCUCGAUGGAAACUAUUGGUCUGGGCUUAGUUCUCCUUUUGGUGUCCUUGGUCCAAAUAUGGUUGAUUCAUUCGUAUUCAUUUGGGUCCCCCUUUCUCUAAAAAGACCAUUAAAAUAGUGUACCGUUUGAUAUGGUUAUUUUUCGGGUUGGAGACAGGUUCUGUUCAGGAUUUAUGACAUUGUGUUAUGUGCAAGAAUCCAAUUCUUUAUCAUGAGAAACGGAACUUUCAAAUGGGUGCAGUUGGAUGUUGUGAUACUACACCGGACUUUUUUGUGUUAAAUUUGUUUUAUUGUACUUUCCAAAAUGUGGAAUCUUUUAAUCUACCAGUAACUCUACCCGCCUUGUCAUAUAGCGCAGAGAAAACAGAAUGUUACAAUAAUGAUAGUAAUAAUAAUCGUAAUUAUUGUUUUAAAAACUGGUAAUGUAUGUUGGCAUGUGGUCCUUUGUACAGCCCACAAGUCACAGAGCAGUUUGUCACAGGGACUGGACUAGAUGGGUAUCCAAUGGAUGAUUCUGAGAGUUAUAUAGCCUUUGGUCCAGACACAGACUACAUGUGGUGUCUCCUGGUCACUCCUUCUCUUUGCACAUAUCAGUAAAUGGGUACCCAGUAGGAUUCAAUGGCAGUGUGGCUGUUCACCCUCCAGCUACUCGUGAGACAGCUCGGGUUGUACAUUCCUCAGGGAGCUGAUAAUGAAAAUUCAAGAAAUGAUUCAUUGACUUGGGUAAAAAUAUAGAACUCUGAGCAUGGAUUGGUGUGGAUUUGGUGCAUGGUGAAUGUUAGAGAGGCCUGUUAACUGUGUGGACAUUCAAGUAAAGAUAGAUGUAGAAAGACUCCUUUCUAUAUCUCCCUAUCAGUGGUGCUGAAUUCAAUGGCUUGUGUAAAAUGUGAGCAAAAUGGAGUGUGGUGUCAGAAUAUCAGAAAGAUAUGAAUAUUUCAUAUUGAUGUGAUGAAGUGUAUAUUAAUGAAAAAAUGAUGGUCCGGUUGUAAAGUAUACAUGAAAUGUUGCAUCUUUGUACAAAAGUUUAACUAAAAGUGCAAAUAUAUAUUUUAAUAAAUAUCCUGUUAAUCCA